AGAUUAGCCAUGCAUGUCUAAGUAUAAGCAAUUUAUACAGUGAAACUGCGAAUGGCUCAUUAAAUCAGUUAUCGUUUAUUUGAUAGUACCUUUACUACUUGGAUAACCGUGGUAAUUCUAGAGCUAAUACAUGCUAAAAAUCCCGACUGUUUGGAAGGGAUGUAUUUAUUAGAUAAAAAAUCAAUGCUUUUCGGAGCUCUUUGAUGAUUCAUAAUAACUUUUCGAAUCGCAUGGCCUUGUGCUGGCGAUGGUUCAUUCAAAUUUCUGCCCUAUCAACUUUCGAUGGUAGGAUAGUGGCCUACCAUGGUUUCAACGGGUAACGGGGAAUAAGGGUUCGAUUCCGGAGAGGGAGCCUGAGAAACGGCUACCACAUCCAAGGAAGGCAGCAGGCGCGCAAAUUACCCAAUCCCGACACGGGGAGGUAGUGACAAUAAAUAACGAUACAGGGCCCUUUCGGGUCUUGUAAUUGGAAUGAGUACAAUGUAAAUACCUUAACGAGGAACAAUUGGAGGGCAAGUCUGGUGCCAGCAGCCGCGGUAAUUCCAGCUCCAAUAGCGUAUAUUAAAGUUGUUGCAGUUAAAAAGCUCGUAGUUGAACCUUGGGCUUGGUUGGCCGGUCCGCCUUUUUGGCGAGUACUGGACCCAACCGAGCCUUUCCUUCUGGCUAACCUUUCGCCCUUGUGGUGUUUGGCGAACCAGGACUUUUACUUUGAAAAAAUUAGAGUGUUCAAAGCAGGCCUUUGCUCGAAUAUAUUAGCAUGGAAUAAUAGAAUAGGACGUUAUGGUUCUAUUUUGUUGGUUUCUAGGACCAUCGUAAUGAUUAAUAGGGACGGUCGGGGGCAUCAGUAUUCAGUUGUCAGAGGUGAAAUUCUUGGAUUUACUGAAGACUAACUACUGCGAAAGCAUUUGCCAAGGACGUUUUCAUUAAUCAAGAACGAAAGUUAGGGGAUCGAAGAUGAUCAGAUACCGUCGUAGUCUUAACCAUAAACUAUGCCGACUAGGGAUCGGGUGUUGUUCUUUUUUUGACGCACUCGGCACCUUACGAGAAAUCAAAGUCUUUGGGUUCUGGGGGGGAGUAUGGUCGCAAGGCUGAAACUUAAAGGAAUUGACGGAAGGGC
RNAcentral lists this ribosomal RNA (1117 nucleotides) under Aspergillus sp. A1bC-4. RNAcentral describes it as "SSU rRNA". It matches the Rfam family "Eukaryotic small subunit ribosomal RNA", at positions 41 to 1165 of the family's 1831-position model. The record is from RNAcentral. Lineage: Eukaryota; Fungi; Ascomycota; Eurotiomycetes; Eurotiales; Aspergillaceae.